GAGUGGGUUGGGCGGUCGCUGGCCGAAAUCGGCUGGAGGAAAGUCCGAGCAGGGCAGGGCACGGUGGUGGCUAACAGCCACCGGGGACGACCCCCGGGAAAGUGCCGCAGAAAAUACACAGCCGAUGGUCCCGAUACGUCGGGAUACAGGCAAUGGUGAAAUGGUGCGGUAAGAGCGCACCGCAGGGUCGGUGACGGCCCUGGCAGGGUAAACCCCACCGCCUGCAAGACCAAGCAGCCGGCUACUCGGCCCGAGUGUGAGCAGUAAUUUUACUGCUCUGCCGGCGGGUAGGUCGCUUGUCGAAAGACAGAGCCAACUGGCAACAGUUGGUCAAGAUAAAUGGCCGCCAUCCUGCCACUUAUGGCCGGAUACAGAACUCGGCUUACAGACCCACUCU
Molecule: RNase P RNA, 397 nt
Filed under: marine eukaryotic metagenome
Description: Bacterial RNase P class A
Rfam family: Bacterial RNase P class A
About the family: Ribonuclease P (RNase P) is a ubiquitous endoribonuclease, found in archaea, bacteria and eukarya as well as chloroplasts and mitochondria.
Source: RNAcentral